RNA transcript from Rhineura floridana, 5267 nucleotides. It is a transcript of the gene named CCAAT enhancer binding protein gamma, with no coding region annotated. The record is from RefSeq and is a predicted model, not a curated record. NCBI's taxonomy places the organism in Eukaryota, Metazoa, Chordata, Lepidosauria, Squamata, Rhineuridae. The transcript has 2 exons.
UUGAAGUGUUACUGAAAAACAUUUUUACCAUCUCUUGACUCAAAUAUGUUAGGGCUGCCAAGGCAGGGUGGGAUUGGACUAACAACUUGUGGGCUGCUAGUGGCUUGUUCUGGAUUUACAAAGUGGUCAACACUGAUGGUUUGUUUAUUUACUACAUUAAUAUGCUGCCUUUUCUCCAAGAUGCUCAAUGCAGCAUACAUGGUUGUUCUCCCCCCCUCCAAACUUUACCUUCACAACAACCCUAUAAGGUAGGUUAGGCUGAGAUAUGAUGACUGUCCCAAGGUCAGCCAGUGAGCAUCUUGGCAGAGUAGAGAUUUGACUUUGGCUCUCCCUAGUCCAGGCAUGAUCAUGUGUAAUGCUGCUCAUGUGUGAGUCCCUCAGGGGCCACACAGUCUGACAACAUAGUGUUUUAAAGGUAUAUUAUAUGUUUGUUAUACUUGGUUUUAGUUUUUUUUGUUAUUGUAAGUUACUGGGUUGCUUUUGUGAGAAAAUUGACUAAUACAUAUAAAUAGCUAUUGCUGGCCACUGGUGUCAGUUAACAGUUGCCUCCAGGUGACUGUACUUCUGUACUCUUAAUUGGGAUAGAGCAGUACACACAGUCACCAUAGUUGUGCUCCCUAUUAAACAGUGCAGUAAUAUUGUAUGCACAACUCUUGUUCCUUGUCUUGGGUUGGGACCUAGAGAAGGAAGUGCAUCGGGAUGGGGUGUGGAGAGUGUGGUGAGUGAGCGGAGGUACUUGUUUACAAGGUUAUGGCAUUGGGAUUUAUGCAUACAUAAUCAUAGCAUUUGUAACAAUUCAUUCCGUCCAAUGACUCCAGUUCACAUGUGGGGGGAUGCUGAUGGCCAUGUGAACCUCUGCUUACUCUUUUCACUGUUAUGGAAUGAUCUGUGCAUGAUCUCCACUACAUAAGCAGAACAUUGGGGCAGCCCUUGAUUAUGGAAAGUUUGGGGAAUUAAUUUUCUAUAUAGCUCCAAAUGUGUUCUAGAACAAACAGUAUCUUUUCUUACUCUCUUGAUUUUUGUGAUAUCACCAAAAGCUUUGCAUAACACUGUCAGUUCUAAAACCAUAAUAGAAUUUAAGUUCCCCAGGGGAAGACAUGAUGCCCCCUGAGGUCUUUCUCUCAGAUGUCAACUGGUGGGCCCCUCUCCUAGCUAUUUUAUUCACACAUAUUAACUCCACGGGUGAUAUUCCUCCAGGCUGGCGUUCCAGCAUUGUGGUGCCCAUUUUUAAGAAAGGAGACCCUUCGGAUCCUCGUAAUUACAGACCCAUUAGUCUCCUAGAUGUGACAUCCAAAUUGUAUGGGCGUUUCCUUCUGAAUAAAUUACUGUCAUGGGAAUCUAGGCACGCCAUUCUACAUGAAGAACAGGCCGGGUUCAGGAAGGGUAGGAGCGCCAUAGACCAUGCGUUUGUUCUCCAGCAUUUAAUAUACAAAACCAUUAAGGGCCCAAACAAGAUCCUUUACGUGGCGUUUGUAGAUUUCACCUCGGCCUUUGAUUUAAUUGACAGGGACUUAUUAUGGCAUAAGCUGAGCCAGACCAAUAUCGACAAAAGGCUGCUUUGGCAAAUUCAAUCUUUACAUCAGGCCAAUUCCCUCCAGGUCCUCCUGGGUCUGCAUGGCACCCUUUCCUGAGCAAUUCAGGUCUCGGCUCAGUUUAUCUAAAGGAGCGCCUACAACGCCACCAAUUAUGCCGCCUGACAAGAUCGGCCACGCAAGGCCUUCUCUCAAUCCCGCCAACCAAAUUAGCUAGGUUGGCAGGAGCUAGAGAGAAGGCCUUUUCAGUGGCGGCCCCCACCCUCUGGAACUCCCUCCCACAAGAUCUUCGGCACGCCUCUUCCCUGAAUAUGUUCCGCAAGGCCUUAAAGACCUGGCUUUUUCAACAGGCUUUUGGGACUUCUGUUCUUAUGAUUGAAACGCCUCCUACCCUGUAUUGUUGUUAUCUUAAUUUAUAUUGUUAUAUUGUAUUUUAUUGUAUUGUAUUUUGCUGCAUUUUACUAUAUGUACGUCGCCUAGAGUGGCCAUCGGCCAGAUAGGCGACACAUAAAUUAAAUUUUAUUAUUAAUUUUAAGCAAGGCUGUAUAUUGGCACAAUUUCUGUUCAAUUUUUAUAUAAAUGAUAUCAUCCCCGAGAUGGCUUCUCCUGCGUUCUUCCUGCCAUUGGUCGGGAGCCGGAAGAUCUCAUCACUGCUCUAUGCUGACGACCUGGUCCUACUCUCCCUGAAUAAAAUUGGUCUUAAAAGGAUGCUCGCUCGACUGGGUAACUUCUGUAAUGAGCAGCAUUUGGUUGUUAACCACUCUAAAACCAAGAUCAUGACUUUUGGCAAAAAAAAGUCCAAAUGGGUCCUUAACGGGCACCAACUGGAGCAGGUGCACUUUUUUAAAUACUUGGGUCUGUGUUUUAGUGACAAUCUUUCGUGGAAGUAUCAUCUAGAGGUAACUAAACUCUCAUGUGCCAGAGCAACUGGCCAAAUUAGAAGGUUCUUUUACACUCGAGGAGGGCAGUUAAUCAACCCGAUGCUCAAAGUAUUUGUGGCCAAAAUCUUGGCCAAAGUUCUAUACGGGGUAGAGCUGUGGGGGGGGCUUGGUUAAACACACGUUAGAAGUCCUCCAAAACAAAUUUAUGAGGCAGAUCCUGGGGCUCCCCCAAGGGGUUCCAUCGUCUCAUUUAAGAGCAGUGCUCGGCCUCCCAUCCCUUUAGGCAAAAAUGGACUUAGCAUAUUUUAGAUACUGGCAGAGGUUAUCCAGUAUGGAUGACUGCUCUCUCUCCAAACUUUGCUGGAUAGAACAACAUAGGAUUGGGGGUUGGGCCCAAGUGUGCCAAGAAAAAUUAAAGAUCUAUAACCUUACCCUGGGAAAGUAUCUAAGUCUUAACCAACUUGAGCUCUGGAACUGGGUCUUUGACCACGAUGCGUGCCAAGAUCGGGCAACAAUUGUUGUAGCCCCUUUCUCCCCCUGGUUCCUCCUACUUAAGCCCAACCACGCUAAACCACAAUAUUUUGAGGUGUUGACGUGUGCCCAUUUACGUAGGGCGUUCACGAAACUUAGAUUCCAAGUGAUGCCCUCGGCUUAUCUAGAUGGAAGAUACAUGGGAACCCUGAUCAAGGAACGGAGAUGCGUCUUUGGUUGCAAUCAGAUAGAGGACAUUGUCCAUUACCUCAUAUAUUGCCCCCUGUACGAGGACCCCAGAAGAAAAUUUCUGGCUAUCUAUACCUGCUCGCACUGGGGGAAAGCCCUCCAGGAUAUGGUAGUAGAGCUACUAGCUGACAAGCAUAAACAAGUAACAGUUGCAGUGGCCAAUUUUGCCCUAGCUGCUGAGGGCGAGUCAUAUUAAGUUCUGCAGAAAUGUGCCCGCUGUAAUAUUGUACCCCCCUCAGCUUCCACAGAGUUCAUUUGCUGUUUAUUUUAUCUUUUCUGUAUUUUGCAAAGGCCUAUGGCUAUACUCAAUAAAAUUGAUUGAAUAGAAUUUAAGCUAAUUCUCCCCUCCCCCUCUUGAUUAGCUCCAUAACCCAAGCAUAUAAAUUGUAAGCAAGGUAUAUCCAGAACACUAUACUUGAUGACUUUCGAAAUGAAUAUGGUAAGAACUCUGAGUGCUGGCCAUAAGUUUUUCAAACCAUUAGCACAUCAAACAAAAAUGACAGCACUUCUGGGUGCACAAACUGUGGAGUGCUUAUAAGCACAUGCCCUUUCAAAGUACUAAAGGAUGUAGAUAAAAUUAGUUAUUAAAGAGAAGAACAAAUGGUAGAACGCAGUUUGUGCAAAAAGAAAACUGGCUUGCGAGAGUUCAGGUGUGUUAUGGCUGUGCCAGUUUUAUUUAAACCUGCAACCAUCUUCUACUCUGUAUUUAUUGAUGCAGUGGGUGUUGUAGGCAGUGAUGGUGGUGGUGAAAACUGUGAAGAUUCAACAAUGCAUUUAAGAGGCUAAGAACUGGUAGGACAGUUGGAUCCGGUGAGCCAUUUUGGCAGGUUUCCUUUACAUAAGAAGAGCCUGUUGAAUCAGGCCAAUGGCCCAAUUUGUCCACCAUCCUUUUCUCUUAUUGGCCAACCAGAUUUAUUUAUUUAUUUAUUGCAUUUAUAGCCUAUGGGAAACCCGCAAGCAGGACUUGAGUGCAAGAGCACUCUCCUGCCGUUUCCAACAACUGGUAUUCAGAAGCAUACUGCCUCCAACUGUUGAGCCACUGAUAUCCUUAUCCUCCAUGAAUUUGUGUAAUCCUCUUUUAAAGCCACCUAAGUUGGCGUCCAUCACUGCCUCUUGUGGGAGUGAGUUCCGUAGCUCAGUUAUGUGAAGCAUGAAGAGUAAUUUCUUUUGUCUGUCUUGAAUUUUCCAACAAUCAGCUUCUUUGGAUGUCCACGAGUUCUAGUGUUAGGGAGAAAAACUUCUUUCUCAUAUCUACAUUCUCCACAUCCCCAAUUUUAUACACAAAUACCUAAUUUUAUACACAUAUCAUGUUACCUCUUAUUCUCCUUUUAUCUAAACUAAAAAGACCCCAAAGCUGCAACCUUUCCUCAGGAGCCCAGGAAGUCAUACUACAAAAGAAAACUCAAGCCAGACUUGAAGUUGCCACAUCUCAGCUGAUCUGUGCUGAUUUCAAGCUCCACUUUCUGCAGGGGUCAGCUGGAAUUCUCCAUGCAGAACUCCAUAGCACAUCUGAUCCCAGAGAGCUUAAAGUUGGUGCCAAUCAGCUGAUGGGCACCAACCUUAAGCUCCUUUUACCUGGCUUGCUCUCACUAGUAGUCAUCUGGUGGUGACUGCAAGCCUAUAUUGCCAGUGCACACUUUAAGGCUCCUGGUUGUGCUUUGGCAGCCGCAUCUCCACCUGUCCCUCUCCUGAUGUCACAUAUGACAUCAGGUUUGUGGCUGGUGGGCAUAGUUUGAGAAAACUACCUUGUGAUCGAAAUUGGGACACAAACAACUGUGUGUGUGUGUAGUGCUGCUGAUUGAGUGCUGAACGAGACACAGCUGUGGACAGCUUGAGGAAGCUCCAUCAACGUUUCCCAUACAUAAGCAAAGUUAGAGAGAGAGAGAGAGAGACUCUGUUGAUUGUAGGAUUUUGGGGAUUAUCUGUAAGUUUAUUUGGGGCCCCAGUGAGAGCCAGUGUAGAUGGUUGGAGUCUUGGUUGGAGACUGAGAGGUACGGAGCAGUGAGCAGUAUCAGAAGAAGCAAGGAUUGUUAUCGGUUCAACUUGUGAUUUAUCCAAUUUCCAAAACAUCCUGGCAAUCUAGAACAUACUUUCUCUAAUAAAUCAUACUGUGGGUUUAAAGAAGAGUCUGUCC